RNAcentral lists this ribosomal RNA (298 nucleotides) under uncultured Bacteroides sp. Its description in RNAcentral is "partial 16S ribosomal RNA". It matches the Rfam family "Bacterial small subunit ribosomal RNA", at positions 43 to 339 of the family's 1533-position model. The record is from RNAcentral. Lineage: Bacteria; Pseudomonadati; Bacteroidota; Bacteroidia; Bacteroidales; Bacteroidaceae.
ACAGGCUUAACACAUGCAAGUCGAGGGGCAGCGGGGGUAGCAAUACCCGCCGGCGACCGGCGCACGGGUGAGUAACGCGUAUGCAACCUGCCCUUUACUCCGGGAUAGCCUUUCGAAAGAAAGAUUAAUACCGGAUAGUAUACGAAUAUCGCAUGAUAUUUUUAUUAAAGAAUUUCGGUUAUCGAUGGGGAUGCGUUCCAUUAGUUUGUUGGCGGGGUAACGGCCCACCAAGACUACGAUGGAUAGGGGUUCUGAGAGGAAGGUCCCCACAUUGGAACUGAGACACGGUCCAAACUCC